RNAcentral lists this unclassified non-coding RNA (327 nucleotides) under soil metagenome. Its description in RNAcentral is "partial contains 5.8S ribosomal RNA, internal transcribed spacer 2, and large subunit ribosomal RNA". The stretch from base 1 to 120 matches the Rfam family "5.8S ribosomal RNA", at positions 35 to 154 of the family's 154-position model. The record is from RNAcentral.
GAUGAAGAACGUAGCGAAAUGCGAUAAGUAAUGUGAAUUGCAGAAUUCAGUGAAUCAUCGUAUCUUUGAACGCACAUUGCGCCCCUUGGUAUUCCGAGGGGCAUGCCUGUUCGAGCGUCAUUAUAACCCUCAAGCUCAGCUUGGUGUUGGGGCCUGCUGCACUGGCAGCCCUUAAAAUCAGUGGCGGCGCCAUCUGGCUCUAAGCGUAGUAAUUCUUCUCGCUAUGGAGUCCUGGUGGAUGCUUGCCAUCAACCCCCAAUUUUUCUAUGGUUGACCUCGGAUCAGGUAGGGAUACCCGCUGAACUUAAGCAUAUCAAAAGCGGAGGA